This 173-nucleotide ribosomal RNA is filed under the name uncultured Umbilicaria. RNAcentral describes it as "partial large subunit ribosomal RNA". It matches the Rfam family "Eukaryotic large subunit ribosomal RNA", at positions 40 to 213 of the family's 3401-position model. Lineage: Eukaryota; Fungi; Ascomycota; Lecanoromycetes; Umbilicariales; Umbilicariaceae. The record is from RNAcentral.
AUAUCAUAAGCGGAGGAAAAGAAACCAACAGGGAUUGCCUCAGUAACGGCGAGUGAAGCGGCAACAGCUCAAAUUUGAAAUCUGGCCCCUUCGGGGCCCGAGUUGUAAUUUGCAGAGGAUGCUUCGGCUUCGGCGCCGGUCUAAGUUCCUUGGAACGGGACGUCGCAAAGGGU